RNAcentral lists this ribosomal RNA (443 nucleotides) under uncultured bacterium. Its description in RNAcentral is "partial 16S ribosomal RNA". It matches the Rfam family "Bacterial small subunit ribosomal RNA", at positions 338 to 795 of the family's 1533-position model. The record is from RNAcentral.
CCUACGGGGGGCAGCAGUGGGGAAUAUUGGGCAAUGGGCGCAAGCCUGACCCAGCAACGCCGCGUGAAGGAAGAAGGCUUUCGGGUUGUAAACUUCUUUUCUCAGGGACGAAGCAAGUGACGGUACCUGAGGACUAAGCCACGGCUAACUACGUGCCAGCAGCCGCGGUAAUACGUAGGUGGCAAGCGUUAUCCGGAUUUACUGGGUGUAAAGGGCGUGUAGGCGGGAAAGCAAGUCAGAUGUGAAAACCAUGGGCUCAACCUGUGGCCUGCAUUUGAAACUGUUUUUCUUGAGUACUGGAGAGGCAGACGGAAUGCCUAGUGUAGCGGUGAAAUGCGUAGAUAUUAGGAGGAACACCAGUGGCGAAGGCGGUCUGCUGGACAGCAACUGACGCUGAGGCGCGAAAGCGUGGGGAGCAAACAGGAUUAGAUACCCCAGUAGUC